RNAcentral lists this long non-coding RNA (181 nucleotides) under Anas platyrhynchos (mallard). RNAcentral's name for it is "lncRNA (ENSAPLG00020012826.1)". Lineage: Eukaryota; Metazoa; Chordata; Aves; Anseriformes; Anatidae. The record is from RNAcentral.
CCACAAACGCACACCCAACAACCAUUCCAUUCCUCUCCAGGCAGCAGCACGUUGACAGCCCACAGAUGGAAACCACAGACCAUGGCGAAGUCACAUACUCCACCAUCGCCCAUGUUCAACGGGACAGGGUGAGUCAUGGCACAGCUGUGCACAGCUCCUUUCUGCACUCCUGCAGCGUGGU